This 492-nucleotide ribosomal RNA is filed under the name uncultured bacterium. RNAcentral's name for it is "partial 16S ribosomal RNA". It matches the Rfam family "Bacterial small subunit ribosomal RNA", at positions 29 to 507 of the family's 1533-position model. The record is from RNAcentral.
AGUGAACGCUGGCGGUAGGCCUAACACAUGCAAGUCGAACGGCAGCACAGUAAGAGCUUGCUCUUACGGGUGGCGAGUGGCGGACGGGUGAGGAAUACAUCGGAAUCUACUUUUUCGUGGGGGAUAACGUAGGGAAACUUACGCUAAUACCGCAUACGACCUACGGGUGAAAGCAGGGGAUCUUCGGACCUUGCGCGAUUGAAUGAGCCGAUGUCGGAUUAGCUAGUUGGCGGCGUAAAGGCCCACCAAGGCGACGAUCCGUAGCUGGUCUGAGAGGAUGAUCAGCCACACUGGAACUGAGACACGGUCCGGACUCCUACGGGAGGCAGCAGUGGGGAAUAUUGGACAAUGGGCGCAAGCCUGAUCCAGCCAUACCGCGUGGGUGAAGAAGGCCUUCGGGUUGUAAAGCCCUUUUGUUGGGAAAGAAAAGCAGCAGGUUAAUACCCCGCUGUUCUGACGGUACCCAAAGAAUAAGCACCGGCUAACUUCGUG